Molecule: ribosomal RNA, 533 nt
Filed under: Steinernema feltiae
Lineage: Eukaryota; Metazoa; Nematoda; Chromadorea; Rhabditida; Steinernematidae
Description: partial large subunit ribosomal RNA
Rfam family: Eukaryotic large subunit ribosomal RNA
Source: RNAcentral
GAUAGGAUGGAAGCAGAUGAAGUUGACGAACGUGUGUCGUAUUCAAAAUCGCUGUCAGCGGUUUGUUUUUACGGCCGAUGUGGGCCGGCGGCUUUGGUCAAUGCAACGCGUCUAGCGUCGAUGGUGACCCUGCGGAGGGACAAUCAGUCGUCGUACGGUGCUUGGUAUGGCUAAGGUUUCGCCGGUCUUAAAGUCAGCGCCUCAUCUGACCCGUCUUGAAACACGGACCAAGGAGUGUAGCGUUUGCGCAAGUCUUAGAGUGUAUCGAAACUUUGAGGCGUAACGAAAGUAAAUGCAGUUUAAUCUGCUGACUUGGGAUGCGUUGUCUCUUGUGGACGGCGCUGGACCAAGGUUUUAUCGCGAUCGCUUGCGGUGCGGUGAAAAUAGAGCGUAAACGGUGCGACCCGAAAGAUGGUGAACUAUGCCUGAGCAGGAUGAAGCCGGAGGAAACUCUGGUGGAAGUCCGAAGCGGUUCUGACGUGCAAAUCGAUCGUCUGACUUGGGUAUAGGGGCGAAAGACUAAUCGAACCAUC